CGGCGUGCUUAACACAUGCAAGUCGAACGGCGAAAGGGACUUCGGUCCUGAGUAAAGUGGCGCACGGGUGAGUAACGCGUGGAUAAUCUGCCCUAUGAUCGGGAUAACGAGUUGGAAACGGCUGCUAAUACCGGAUACGCUCAAAAUGAACUUUUUGAGGAAAGAUGGCCUCUGCUUGCAUGCUAUCACGUAAGGAUGAGUCCGCGUCCCAUUAGCUUGUUGGCGGGUAACGGCCCACCAAGGCAACGAUGGGUAGCCGAUUUGAGAGGAUGAUCGGCCACACUGGAACUGAAACACGGUCCAGACUCCUACGGGAGGCAGCAGUGGGGAAUAUUGCGCAAUGGGCGAAAGCCUGACGCAGCGACGCCGCGUGAGGGAUGAAGGUUUUCGGAUCGUAAACCUCUGUCAGAAGGGAAGAAACUACGUUGUGCUAAUCAGCAGCGUACUGACGGUACCUUCAAAGGAAGCACCGGCUAACUCCGUGCCAGCCGCUGC
This 495-nucleotide ribosomal RNA is filed under the name uncultured bacterium. RNAcentral describes it as "bacterial SSU rRNA". It matches the Rfam family "Bacterial small subunit ribosomal RNA", at positions 40 to 518 of the family's 1533-position model. The record is from RNAcentral.